RNAcentral lists this long non-coding RNA (210 nucleotides) under Carica papaya (papaya). Its description in RNAcentral is "long non-coding RNA (CPAP_LNC002557)". The record is from RNAcentral. Lineage: Eukaryota; Viridiplantae; Streptophyta; Magnoliopsida; Brassicales; Caricaceae.
AGAAGUUGAUCUAAGUCGUUCGCACGCACAGGAGUGGCCCCGAGCUGUUCGAUUGGCCUAACACGCAGAUUGCCAGUGUGGGCUUCCUGCUGGAGCCCGUGUUGACGUGGCCACCACGCAGCUUGUGGCAAUUCGUUACGCUGCUGACUCGGUAUCCAUGUGACAUCCCAAAUUUUAAUUAAGACUUAAGGGUGCUAGGGACAGAAAUAG